UGGGGAAUUUUGGACAAUGGGCGAAAGCCUGAUCCAGCAAUGCCGCGUGUGUGAAGAAGGCCUUCGGGUUGUAAAGCACUUUUGUCCGGAAAGAAAUCCUCUGGGUUAAUACCUCGGGGGAGUGACGGUACCGGAAGAAUAAGCACCGGCUAACUACGUGCCAGCAGCCGCGGUAAUACGUAGGGUGCAAGCGUUAAUCGGAAUUACUGGGCGUAAAGCGUGCGCAGGCGGUUUUGUAAGACGGAUGUGAAAUCCCCGGGCUUAACCUGGGAACUGCAUUCGUGACUGCAAGGCUAGAGUAUGGCAGAGGGGGGUAGAAUUCCACGUGUAGCAGUGAAAUGCGUAGAGAUGUGGAGGAAUACCGAUGGCGAAGGCAGCCCCCUGGGCCAAUACUGACGCUCAUGCACGAAAGCGUGGGGAGCAAACAGGAUUAGAUACCCUGGUAGUCCACGCCCUAAACGAUGUCAACUAGUUGUUGGGGAUUCAUUUCCUUAGUAACGUAGCUAACGCGUGAAGUUGACCGCCUGGGGAGUACGGUCGCAAGAUU
RNAcentral lists this ribosomal RNA (547 nucleotides) under uncultured bacterium. RNAcentral's name for it is "partial 16S ribosomal RNA". It matches the Rfam family "Bacterial small subunit ribosomal RNA", at positions 355 to 895 of the family's 1533-position model. The record is from RNAcentral.